This 497-nucleotide ribosomal RNA is filed under the name uncultured bacterium. Its description in RNAcentral is "partial 16S ribosomal RNA". It matches the Rfam family "Bacterial small subunit ribosomal RNA", at positions 28 to 507 of the family's 1533-position model. The record is from RNAcentral.
GAUGAACGCUGGCGGCGUGCCUAAUACAUGCAAGUCGAGCGAACAAACGAGGAGCUUGCUCCUCUGACGUUAGCGGCGGACGGGUGAGUAACACGUAGAUAACCUACCUAUAAGACUGGGAUAACUUCGGGAAACCGGAGCUAAUACCGGAUAAUAUAUUGAACCGCAUGGUUCAAUAGUGAAAGACGGUUUUGCUGUCACUUAUAGAUGGAACCGCGUCGCAUUAGCUAGUUGGUAAGGUAACGGCCUACCAAGGCAACGAUGCGUAGCCGACCUGAGAGGGUGAUCAGCCACACUGGAACUGAGACACGGUCCAGACUCCUACGGGAGGCAGCAGUAGGGAAUCUUCCGCAAUGGGCGAAAGCCUGACGGAGCAACGCCGCGUGAGUGAUGAAGGUCUUCGGAUCGUAAAACUCUGUUAUUAGGGAAGAACAAAUGUGUAAGUAACUAUGCACGUCUUGACGGUACCUAAACAGAAAGCCACGGCUAACUACGUG